UUUCAAGGUGACUGCAUAGCUAAGAC
This 26-nucleotide non-coding RNA is filed under the name Homo sapiens (human). Lineage: Eukaryota; Metazoa; Chordata; Mammalia; Primates; Hominidae. The record is from RNAcentral.